GUUGAACGCUGGCGGCGUGCCUAAUACAUGCAAGUCGAGCGAACAGACGAGGAGCUUGCUCCUCUGACGUUAGCGGCGGACGGGUGAGUAACACGUGGAUAACCUACCUAUAAGACUGGGAUAACUUCGGGAAACCGGAGCUAAUACCGGAUAAUAUAUUGAACCGCAUGGUUCAAUAGUGAAAGACGGUUUUGCUGUCACUUAUAGAUGGAUCCGCGCCGCAUUAGCUAGUUGGUAAGGUAACGGCUUACCAAGGCGACGAUGCGUAGCCGACCUGAGAGGAUGAUCGGCCACACUGGAACUGAGACACGGUCCAGACUCCUACGGGAGGCAGCAGUAGGGAAUCUUCCGCAAUGGGCGAAAGCCUGACGGAGCAACGCCGCGUGAGUGAUGAAGGUCUUCGGAUCGUAAAACUCUGUUAUUAGGGAAGAACAGAUGUGUAAGUAACUAUGCACGUCUUGACGGUACCUAAUCAGAAAGCCACGGCUAACUACGUG
Molecule: ribosomal RNA, 497 nt
Filed under: uncultured bacterium
Lineage: Bacteria
Description: partial 16S ribosomal RNA
Rfam family: Bacterial small subunit ribosomal RNA
Source: RNAcentral